CAAAGUCAGACGCUGAACCGACUGAACCACCCAGGUGCCCCUGCCCUCUUGUCUUUUCAAGGGAGACAUAGCGAGUUGUGAAUUUUGUCCUGAAGAAGUGCAUGAGAUAGAGGAACUGAUCUUCAUUUAGGAAAGUCCCCGGCGAGCAGUUUAUUUCCUGGAGUAUUUUCUCAUCUUUGUUUUACACAGCGUGUAGGCAGAGUAAUGGCCACCAGAGAUGUCCACGCCCUAAUCUCUAGAACCUGUUACCUUACGUGGCGAAAAGGGAUUUUUCAGAUGUGAUUAAGUUAAGAACCUUGAGACAAGGAGAGCAUGCUGGAAUAUCCAGGUGGGCCCAAUAUAAUCACAUGAAUCCUUAAAAGUAGAGAACCUUUCCCAGAUGAGUUGGAUGCAAACGCAACAUUACUGGCUUUGCAGAUGGAGGAAGGGGCUUGGAGCCAACCAGGCAGACAGCCUACAGAAGCUGGAAAAGGCAAGGAAAUGGAUCCUCCCCUAGAACCUCCAGAAGAGAAUCAAGUUCUGCCAACACAUUGAUUUUGGAUCAGAGAGAACUUCCUGGUAGUUUGUAUUGGCUGCGAGAUAUUUUCCUCUGGGAGAGUCUGAAGCAACUGGAGCUUGUUGACCCUGGAGGUGAAAUGCUGGAGGAUCAUCUCAGGUGAAAUUGUGUUUAUUCUUACAAGACUCCAUUUGAAACCAAAUGAAGUGUGUCCCUUCCCCAACCUGCUCAAGUCUGAAAUCUAAUGGAAAAUAUGACCCGUGGAUACUAAGUAAAAUGUAAUGUCUGUCCCUAACACUAACAAAUAAAUGAAUAUUCUGUAACCAAGUAAGAUGAAUAUCCUGGCUCUGUCUGAAGCGAAUUGAUUCAGUUUGUUUCUGAAUGUGUUUUCUGCUGGCCACCAUAAAUUUAUCAUAACAUAGUAGAUUUUACGCAUUGCUAUUUGGAGUUUAUUUUCUGAAAAAUUGUCAAAAUUUAUUCUCAAAAUUAUGUUUUGUGAAAGUCAACGUAUAUGAUCCAGGAUUUGCUUUUAUUUGGAGUUUAUCUCUCCUCCUUGGGCCCAAAGCACCUGGGCUGAAAAAUACUAUUAGUUUUCUUGUAUUGUAUGUGUGAGGGUGAGUGUGAGUGUGUGAGAGACAGAGAGCGUGUGUGCAUACGGAAGCAUACGGUAGGUAGGAUCAAAGGUGUGGAAUAAAGUAGCUCUGUGUUUGAAUGCAUCACUCCCAGAGGGUGAUAUUCAGCAAGUUACUGAGUCCCUCUGGACUUCACUUUUCACAGAAUGGGAUUAAAAGAAGCUAUGUGAUAGGGUUAUUGUGAGGCUUAAAAAGAAUACAUUUUAAGCACCUCUUACAAAAUAGUUCCUCAUUAAAUAGUAGGUAAUUUUAGCCUUCA
Molecule: long non-coding RNA, 1387 nt
Organism: Felis catus (domestic cat)
Lineage: Eukaryota; Metazoa; Chordata; Mammalia; Carnivora; Felidae
Exons: 3
Source: RefSeq, a predicted model, not a curated record